RNAcentral lists this ribosomal RNA (301 nucleotides) under uncultured bacterium. RNAcentral describes it as "partial 16S ribosomal RNA". It matches the Rfam family "Bacterial small subunit ribosomal RNA", at positions 509 to 808 of the family's 1533-position model. The record is from RNAcentral.
CAGUAGCCGCGGGAAUACGUAGGGUGCAAGCGUUAAUCAGAAUUACUGGCGUAAAGCGUGCGCAGGCGGUUCUAUAAGACAGAUGUGAAAUCCCCGGGCUCAACCUGGGAACUGCAUUUGUGACUGUAGAGCUGGAGUGCGGCAGAGGGGGAUGGAAUUCCGCGUGUAGCGGUGAAAUGCGUAGAUAUGCGGAGGAACACCGAUGGCGAAGGCAAUCCCCUGGGCCUGCACUGACGCUCAUGCACGAAAGCGUGGGGAGCAAACAGGAUUAGAUACCCCCGUAGUCCCUGUCUCUUAUACC